GGAGCUUGCUUUAUAUAACUUAGCAGCGAACGGGUGAGUAACACGUAGAUAAUCUAUCCUAUACUGGGGGAUAGCCCGAUGAAAGUUGGAUUAAUACCGCAUAUAGCUAUAUAGUUGCAUGAUUAUGUAGUGAAAGAUUUAUUGGUAUAGGAGGAGUCUGCGGCACAUUAGCUAGUAGGUGAGGUAAAGGCUUACCUAGGCGACGAUGUGUAGCCGGUCUGAGAGGAUGAACGGCCACAAUGGAACUGAGACACGGUCCAUACUCCUACGGGAGGCAGCAGUGGGGAAUAUUGCACAAUGGGGGAAACCCUGAUGCAGCAACGCCGCGUGAGUGAAGAAGGUUUUCGGAUUGUAAAGCUCUGUUAGCAGGGAAGAGGAAGGACGGUACCUGCAGAGGAAGCCACGGCUAACUACGUGCCAGCAGCCGCGGUAAUACGUAGGUGGCAAGCGUUGUUCGGAAUAACUGGGCGUAAAGGAUGCGUAGGCGGUUAAACAAGUUAUAUGUUAAAUAUAUAGGCUUAACCUGUAGAAAGCAUAUAAAACUGUUUAACUAGAGUGCAGGAGAGGUAAGUGGAAUUCCUAGUGUAGCGGUGAAAUGCGUAGAGAUUAGGAAGAACACCAGUGGCGAAGGCGACUUACUGGACUGUAACUGACGCUGAGGCAUGAGAGCAUGGGGAGCAAACAGGAUUAGAUACCCUGGUAGUCCAUGCUGUAAACGAUGGGUACUAGGUGUGGGUUGUGA
This 742-nucleotide ribosomal RNA is filed under the name uncultured bacterium. Its description in RNAcentral is "bacterial SSU rRNA". It matches the Rfam family "Bacterial small subunit ribosomal RNA", at positions 75 to 832 of the family's 1533-position model. The record is from RNAcentral.